This 71-nucleotide transfer RNA is filed under the name Ruminococcus sp. Its description in RNAcentral is "tRNA-Gln". It matches the Rfam family "tRNA". Rfam says of the family: Transfer RNA (tRNA) molecules are approximately 80 nucleotides in length. Their secondary structure includes four short double-helical elements and three loops (D, anti-codon, and T loops). Further hydrogen bonds mediate the characteristic L-shaped molecular structure. tRNAs have two regions of fundamental functional importance: the anti-codon, which is responsible for specific mRNA codon recognition, and the 3' end, to which the tRNAs corresponding amino acid is attached (by aminoacyl-tRNA synthetases). tRNAs cope with the degeneracy of the genetic code in two manners: having more than one tRNA (with a specific anti-codon) for a particular amino acid; and 'wobble' base-pairing, i.e. permitting non-standard base-pairing at the 3rd anti-codon position. The record is from RNAcentral. Lineage: Bacteria; Bacillati; Bacillota; Clostridia; Eubacteriales; Oscillospiraceae.
UUCCGCUUCGUCUAGUGGCAGGACAUCGGAUCCUGACUCCGAAAACGGGAGUUCAACUCUCUCAGCGGAAA